AGUUGCUUAGAACUAAGAAGACAGAUAUUUACCCAAGUUUUCUUGGCUUCCUCUUGCUCCCUUGAUAUUCUAGAGUUCCCUGUGGAGAGGGCCAAGAACACACAGUCAAAGCAAAGCAGCAAGUCGUUAAUUUUUAAUUCAAAGUGAUUUUGUGUUGAAUGCAAGCAGAUGCUGAUAAUAUCAGAAGUCACAGCAUAAUUUUUUUUGAUCAAAGGGCUCAAGUGAGCCUGAUGAAGCAUGCAUCUUGCUCGUCUUUGAUAAACCACAUCAAUUAUUCACCGUG
RNAcentral lists this long non-coding RNA (283 nucleotides) under Homo sapiens (human). Its description in RNAcentral is "HSALNT0042970". Lineage: Eukaryota; Metazoa; Chordata; Mammalia; Primates; Hominidae. The record is from RNAcentral.